ACAACGAGCACGUCGAGGGGAAGGUUGCGAUCACGAUAUCCCUUUGCGAUGUCGAGUGCCUGCUGCUGCGUGGGAUAGAUGGCUUUGCUCUGGAUAUAGCCGUAAGUAGCCUUGGGCAAAAGCGGGGUGCUGCCGGUGAGUGUGCGAUAGCCCUGGUAAAUGUCGUCUACCUUUUCACCC
Molecule: unclassified non-coding RNA, 180 nt
Filed under: fungal sp.
Lineage: Eukaryota; Fungi
Description: partial internal transcribed spacer region
Source: RNAcentral